Molecule: RNA transcript, 3525 nt
Organism: Anopheles stephensi (Asian malaria mosquito)
Lineage: Eukaryota; Metazoa; Arthropoda; Insecta; Diptera; Culicidae
Gene name: crossover junction endonuclease MUS81-like
Exons: 5
Source: RefSeq, a predicted model, not a curated record
GUUUGAUGACGCUCGCAUAUCAGCUGUGUUGAUUGAACCGCCAAAACGAAUACCGGCUUCAAGCAAACAAGUAUCCGGUUCUAAGUUUGUUGCAAAUAAAAUCAAUUUAAAAUUGUGUACGCCAUGUCACCAGCCAAAUACAGUGUGAAGUUAGUAAGGGAAGGUGAAACCAUCGAACAAUGCACCACACAGAACGCAAAUCUUCGACGAAUAGGCGUUCGUUUGAAGCGUCCGAACCCGCUGUUCGAAGUGUGGCUGGAAGAGAUGAUUGCCAAAGCGGAGGAAAAAAACACGAUGGGUAAAAUAGCGCUCCAGAAAGCACUCAACUCCUUACGCCGGUAUCCGCUUCCGCUGGCAUCGGGACGGGACUGUAUUGUGCUGAUGGAUUUCGGCAAAACAAUCUGUGACAACCUCGAUCGACGGCUGAAAGCAUACCUUGCCAGCGGCGGGCGUGUAACGACGGAUCACAGUGGCGCCAUCGAGGCAAUCUUGAACGACGAACAGGCGGAAUACUACCGUGAGCUAACUGAAGCUUGUCGUAUAAAUGCAGAAGAACCAGCGCAGGAAGUAGAACCGAUAGAAGAAGCAAUGCCAAACGAUUCCAUAUUUGAUCACGUACCUGUUGCUGCUGUUAGCUUAGGAGAUGGGGAUUUUGUUCGUAUAUCGCACCCGAAAGCGAUUCUGCUGGUAGACACGUGUGAAACGAUUGGCAAAUCGAAGAGCAGUCUCGAUCGAACACUGCAACAGCUGGCACAGCACUCCGUCGCACAUGAAGUCCGCCGGCUAACCGUGGGUGAUUUUGCGUGGAUCGUAAAAGCCGACGACGGACGCGAGUUUCUGCUGCCGUACAUACUGGAGCGCAAGCGGAUAGAUGAUCUGGCAAGCAGCAUCAAGGACGGGCGGUUUCACGAGCAAAAGUUUCGUCUAAAGCAGUGCGGACUGCCAAACGUGAUCUACCUGAUCGAGCAUUUGGGAAACAAUCGACAGGUCGGUGUACCGGAGGCAACGCUAACGCAGGCGGCGCUCAACACCUACGUUCAGGGGUUUACGGUAAAGUACACGGAAAACCAUCAUCACACCGUGCUCUACCUUUCGGUGAUGACGAACUUUCUGAACAAUUAUCUCAAGGAUAAACUAUACCUGAACGUUACCGAUCGACCCGCUUCGGAUGAUCCGCGCGACGCUUUCCGCUUUUCCAGCCAAACGGUCCCGCUACUAUCGUUUGAUUACUUCUACAAACAAUCGGCGAAAACGCGCGACAGCACCGUUCAGGACGUUUUCAUGAAGCAGCUGCUGCAGAUAAAGCUGCUGACGAUCGAGAAGGUGAACGCGAUCGUGGAUAAGUACCCGACCCCGCAGCGACUGUUCCGGGCGUACGAGCGGUGCCCCAGCGAGACCGAACGCCAGCGCCUGCUAAACCUACCGUACGGACCGACGAACCGGAUGAUUGGAGAGAAGCUGAGCAAAAUCAUCUACCAGCUAAUGAUGAGCGAACGGUACAACACUUCCUAGCGCGUGCUGCCCUAAGCAAAGGAUAAUGGUGAAGCCGCUGCAAAGACGAGCUCUAAGUGCUGUACGGUCGUGCACCGAAUUAAACUCGCCAGGCCCUGGUGGGCUGGUCAUGUUAUGAAAAUGACACCGGACGAUUCAGCCCUUAAUAGGUAGGCACAAACUGAGAUGGAGUGAAGGCAUUGAUGCGUCGGCCAGAACGGCCGGGAUAAUCGAUUGCCAGACGACGGUGCGUUGGACCGUGUGCGGUAUCGAGGAUAAUUGAAACAGGACAAGAUAACACGCGAGACGACCUCUAUUUACAUUCGUAACAUCAAAGGCUGAACUGAUGGUGAAGUCCUUCGUACAAGAGAUGGUUUCUUGACCGAACGAAUCGAAUCGAAGGGAUAAGGAAAAUCUGCAUCCUUCCUGCCAGAAAACUGCCGGUGAUGGUGAGCCUUUCGUUGUCGUAUUCGAACAACGAAAUUGGAGUGGCAAGAGGAAUCCGGAACCGUGUAAGAUGGGACACAAUCGCAUCCCCUUCAACCGCGACGUAACUGCAUGGUGGAACCGUCUACUUCUGGCUGCAGUCAACAAUCUUCUGAGCUUCGGCCUGUGUCGGAUAGGAACGGUUAAAUGACGAGCAGCGAGUCAACCGGUGUUUUGCACGCGUCCUGCUGCCCGAAGCUACUGCCGAGCGGAUUAAUUCCCAUCGCGCCUGGCGAACGCUUGCCCCAGGCCGGCGUGAAGGUCAGCUGUGGAACGAACGGUAUUCCAUUAGCCUCAUCUUUAAGGGCACGGUCGCGUACUUCGCUCCAUCGCCGAGGGUUUUCGGGUCGCGCGGUAAACAUCCAUCUGUGCUUACCUGUGCUUCGCAGAUGAACAUCAAAGAGGCGCAAAUCAGAAGGACGCCCAACAGCUUCACGGUAUCCAUAUCGUUUGCGAGAUCUCGGCGGUAGAUUAAUUAGAAUUUUGUUAUUUGCUUUUUAAUGUUUGCUUGCCCGCGCUGCAACUGGACGCUCGGUGUACCCCGGUGGUGGUGGGCGCUCGGAUUGAAUGGCUGCGUGGCUGUGCUUGCGGUAACGUGUUCCGAUUGAAUGAUGCGGCGUGUCUGAAUUCUGCCUGGUCGCUCGGUGUGCUUUUUUAUACCAAAACGCCUAGCCAGCCAGCCAGCCAGCCAGCCAGCCAGCCAGCCAGUCCUUGUACGGUUUCCGAAGCCAAUGCAAUGCUUAUUCGCUCCCCGGACAUAGGACAAGGAUGUUAGGAAGGAAAAAACUGGCUCCUAUGAUUGAGCGGGAGUAAUUAAAGAUCUAUCCAGCUUCCAGUUGCACGGUGUCCUUACGUACUUAGUCGCGAUUCGUACGAAUGUGGUGAUGCUGGGAGGUUGUUCGAUAUUUAGUUCUUUUUUUAAAUUAUCAAUGCUUUCAUCGAACGCUUUUGCUUCCCAGAGUUGCGUUGCUACUCGUCAUGUAUCCCAGAGUGAAGCAUCGAAGCUGAUGCUUUAGAUGUUGUAAAUCAAUAUGUAAUCGGUACGAUUUGUUUAAGUCCCACAAACAUAGGUAAAAAUCUACAUGCAUGAUGUUUAUGCAACGCAAAGCAAUAGCCUGAUAUUCCAAGUUAAAGAUUUUUUGCUGGCCGUAUUCUCCAAGAAUUGUAAUUCGUAUUUAUUUAGAGAAAAGAAAAUGAUUUCUUUAGGCCCAUUUAAAUGAUGUGUUAAAUAAUGUUAAGCAAAAAUAUAAAAUUUUAACGCUCUUAUAAUGCGGAGGAUCUGUUUGACAGCCAUUUGGGAGCGAAUUUCUUUAUUUAUAGAUCAAGCUAAAUAUGUAGAACUGUGAUUUAUGGUACGAUCAUUUGGCAAUAGAAGUCUAAGAUACAUUAUGCAUGAAGCAUAAAUGAAAUGCGUUUGUGAGAGAGAAUGUAUAAGACUUUCCUUCAAUUGAAUUGUUCGUUCAAGUGUUUUUUUAAAGUAUUAUAUAUAUUUUUUAAUGUUAAAACAUAACGGGAAUGAAAAUCAUUGUUAAAAUAUAUAAAACAAAA